AGGAAGAGGAAGAGCGAGGGUGUAGCAGGGAAAGUAUUGGUCUGUGCUGCGUGUGGAAAGUGACUUUAGUGGCGGCGUGAAGGCGAGGGCACGAGUGAGGUGCUGGCAGGCUGACUGAGGGUGAGCACUGCCCUGAGUGACAAUGAUGGAAGAAGAUUCAGUGGCUGGUAAUGAUGAUGUCCUCUGCCGCUCUCUUACCUCAUAAAACUAUUACAUUUCUUGGAACGUCAUUGUACGACAGAGUAGCCAGCUAAACAGCCGAGCCCUCAGCGUGCGCCUCCCGCCGGACAAGGGGCCUACAUCCAACACUACCUCAUUGAGAUCCACAACGAAGGCUCCUCCUACUCACUCCAAGCUUCUGAAAACCGCUUCGACACCCUUCCUUCGCUCAUCACCUAUUAUUCUCAGUGCUGCGAAGAGUUGCUGGCUCAGCUCAAGCUUCCUCGCACCAUCCAGGAGGCCAAGACCCGCCAUGAACUCGGCUCUCUCUCGCUGCUCGGACAAACCUCGGCCGCGGACAGCCCCGUGAUGGUCAGCCCUCCAAGUGUGCUCGUCUUAGCAAGGCCUUCCUCUCCCAGACGACCAAAACGCAGAGGGAGGUGUUCCACGCGCCCUUCUGCACCACCUGGUUCUGUACGGCCUGGACGGGGCUCUUCUGCCCGUCCUGCCUCGCCUGCCACUCCUGCUUCCGGAGGGAUAAGGACUCACUCAAGGUCUUCCUCAAAACCAUCGCACAGAACUUCAGGGACCGCGGCGUCACUUUCAAUAAGUUAAGAGAGAGAGAGAGAGAGAGAGAGAGAGAUAUCAUUUCUGGCUGCGCGUUGUAAUCCCACGCUCACGGCGGCACAACAGCAAGGAGAGGCGUCCCGAGCCCCGCCUAAGGACAAUGUCUCUCUGGGGGAUUUCUAGGGAUGAACCGCUCGAGCUGGCUGCCGCCUUGUUGUCCUGGGCACUGCUGAGACUAAGGCCAGGGAGGGAGGGAGAGAGGGAGGAAGAAAAGGGACUUAGCUUGGAGGAAGAGCUUGUCUCUGUUUUAUCUCUUCGUACGGAUGAUUGUUUCAAUAGGGGAACCGAAUUUUAUUUAUUUAUUUGUUGCGAGAGAUCAAAACGCGAUACAUACAGUUACAUGUAUGUAUGUGUUUGUGUGUGUGUGUGUGUGUGUGUGUGUUUGCGAGGCAGCAUCACAACACACACAGAGGGCUAGUAGUGGCGCUACAUCCCUGAGAGAGUGUCACGGGGACUAAGGCGGUUAUGAGAUGAAAGGUGGGCGAGAACUUCACUCUCCAGAAUAGAUUCCAGCGCCUGAUGUGAGAGAAUCAGGAAGGCGUGACUUCACCUUCAGACAUCGCAGCGAUCGUGCCUCAGCCAUGCAAGUGAAGCAAGAGUCGAGGAUAAAGUUGCCUUGAUUUGGCUUGGCAGGUUGUCAAUGCGGCACAACUUGUUAUUAUUCUAGCGACACAUUAUGAAAUUCCAUCCAAGUCAGCUGCCGUUGAAGGAUAAAUGACAAGAAAGAAUAUUUUCCUAGCAAUAAAAAAAAUUAAUGUAUUAAAUCAGAAAGAUAGAAGGACACGAUAGAAAAUUUGUAAUAUAUUAAUGGUGAAGUAUUGCGAAAAGACUCAAAUAAAAUAGCUUUCUUAACAGAUGCUAACACUGCAAAGAGAGAGAGAGAGAGAGAGAGAGAGAGAGAGAGAGAGAGAGAGAGAGAGAGAGAGAGAGAGAGAGAGAGAGCUGAGAAACUUUGAAAAAUAAUUGGGAUUGUUUUACUAGCUUUGGGACACAACCCACCAGAAUAAUGAAAACUGACAUGAAAAAAAAAAUAUAUAUAUAUAUAUUGUUGUUCGAGGACUGAAAGAUGGACAAGGGUGAUUCUUGGUAAGGAUUAUUGUUGGUAAAAUGAAUAUUUUCAGUGGGGAGAGGAAUCAGUACUAGUUUUCUAUCUUGAACGUGCGAGGAUCAUAUUGUAGUGUUAUAUGUUGUUAUCGUCUGUUAGGCACAGACAGGAAGGCCUCACGCGUGGAAUCAAUAAUAGUUCAGAGGAAAGGAGGAACAGCAACAUUAAGAAGGAUGAGGCUACGUCGAUGAGGCUACGUCAGAGAAACACACGAAAAAAAAGCUCCUGGCUGGGUAACUAGAAUGAUUGGGUUUUAGAAGGUCAUGGAUGUUGCCUGCAGGAUGAAGGAUCUCGGCUCAGGCUCGAGGAACAGAAUAAGACAAAGGCAAAGUUGACUGGACAAAACUACGGUGCCAAAAAUACGUGUAAAUAAGCAAGACAAGAGAGAAGUGCGGAGUGUACUGAUGCAGGACUGAUGAACAUUAGACACUGUGUUCUUGAUUAGCAAUGGAAGGUCGGGUCAAUAGUGUGAAAAACUAGGAUGGAAAAUAUUAGUACAAGUGUGGCUAGAGAACACAGUGUUCCAGGAAGUAAAAAUAUCGAAAAAUAUGAAAGAACCAUUGUAUAAUGAAACUUUGUUGUGGAAGAUCGGGAGUAAAGCUGAUGAAAACUGCGUCAUCAUCAUCAUCAUCAUCAUCAUCAUCAUCAUCAUCAUCAUCAUCAUAAAAUAAGGAAAGCUUCUGAAAAUAUUACUGAAAGAAUGCAACGUGUCGAGAGAGAUGGAAAUCAUGGGAGACGCGCACAGUAUUUCUAGUGACUGUAAUUUCUGCUUCUCAUUCUCGAUAUUUUUGUGUCCCCAGUUCUACGUUUUUGUGACACGAACAUGAAGGAGUGUGCGAACGAUAAAGUUUCACAAAGCAAAGAACGCUUUCGGCAGAAAGAAAUUAAAGGCAGAAGAUAGCGAGGGGAUGCGGGGCCACUUACCUCGGUGCAAUGGUUGGCGCUGAUGUAAUGCGUGGUGUGGUGACUGCCUCCUACAGAUUUUACCUGGCUUACGUUCCAGGUGUGUGUGUGAGUGUGUGUGUGUGUGUGUGUGUGUGUGUGUGUGUGUGUGUGUGUGUGUGUGUAAACGUUAAUUCAAAUCGAUGCAUUUCCUCACGUUGCUUACACUCUAGAAUUUGACAUGUUAAAAAAGACGUGUCCUUUCAUCCCUCGAGGAGUGACGCCCGCUUGCCUCCCUCUCCAGAACGUCAGGUAAAGAAAACGAGAGUCUGUUCCCCCGCCUCCCCUGAGGCACCUGUUGCAGCCCCGCAGGAUUACAGACUUGCAGACUGGAAAGUUCUGCAUUAAUUUUACCGAAUCUCGUAAUCUCUUGGUAAAUGGGAAACGGCGAGCAACAAGCGGCCUUUCCUGGUUAUUCAUCACGAUUCGAGAUCAUGAUCUUAAAUGUAACUUGUUUAUCAAUGCACCUUAUAUUUACAUGUGACAGAGUAGUCAGGCGUGGAGGGAAGGGCGCCUGAAGUGUGUGGACAGUGUGAAGACCAGUGCCAAGAAAUGCCGGGGUUUUGGAAGACGGAAAAAAUCGGUGAUGGUUAACUGUUGACGGUCAAAGAUUAAUGGGAAACUUUUUGGUGGUGCAAGUCAGAUGAGAAAUCUUUAAAGGUGGAAAAAAAUAUGGGAUAUUUCCGUGAUGGAAGAAAGAUAAGGAGUUUGUCGAGGCUGGUGACUGGCGGCUGGUCAGUGUUGGUGUCUUCACUCCAUGGAGAGAGUUCUGAAAGUUGAUAAAAUAAAGACACGUAUAAAAAAGUAUAGAAGAAUGAAAGCAGCGUUAGUUAAAGAGUGGAAGGUUUUCAUCACAUCACUGGUUCACUUCAGGCUGAAACACAAGCAAGGGCAAACAGUCACAUCGAAAACAAGCCACCAGCCAGGGACGCUCAGUGCAAACUCGAUAACAGCCAAUACCUGCCGUGAAAUUACCUCGUGCCGCCGCCGCCCUUCACGCCACCACGCCUCAGGACGCACCAUUAUAAUGUAAAAAAAGAAAAAAAAAUGCAAAUAUGAAUCCAAAGGGCUUUCAGAUAUACAAGUGUACGGACAGUGUUCUGUGUUGACGGAGAAAGACGUGGAGAGUGACGGUGGGGAGAAUAUAGGUGUAGGAUUUUUUUUUUUUUUUAAGCAACACUAGUUGCCUACGUAUUGUAUUGUAUCUGCACAUGUUGUCGUUGCUGUUAAUGCUGCUGCUGCUGCUGCUGCUGAUGAUGAUAGUGAUAAUGAUAAUGUAAUGUACUAAGGCUUCA
Scylla paramamosain (green mud crab) is the source of this 4128-nucleotide long non-coding RNA. RefSeq lists it as uncharacterized. The record is from RefSeq and is a predicted model, not a curated record. Lineage: Eukaryota; Metazoa; Arthropoda; Malacostraca; Decapoda; Portunidae. The transcript is spliced from 6 exons.